Molecule: unclassified non-coding RNA, 1340 nt
Filed under: Hevea brasiliensis (rubber tree)
Lineage: Eukaryota; Viridiplantae; Streptophyta; Magnoliopsida; Malpighiales; Euphorbiaceae
Source: RNAcentral
GGAAUAUUUGCUCUUCAAAUGCAGCUGAGCUGAAUUAACAGACAAGUCCAGAAAUUACAAAAUACGGAGGUCACACUAUUACAACACCUUUUACUAACAAAAUAUAGACUUGUGUACAGAUACAUCUUUAGCAAGUAGCCAUAGACUUGCAAACAAUUUCUGAAACUUGUGUACAGAUACAUUUCACCAGCAUUAAGUUUUCAACAAGGAACUUUUCUACAGAUAGACAAAAGAAAAAUAUUCACCCAUUUCCCUUUUAGUAAUGCAAACUAUGCUGCAAUAUGUUCCCCUUUCAGCUGCCUACACUUGUAUUUCACUGGUAUGAAGAGCAACUUUUUCGAGAAUAGCAGGCCUCCAAGUUGCAAUCUCUUGCUCAUUCAACUGACGACUACUAUUUUGGGCUGUGCUAUGGCUUCUGUUUCUAGCAAUGGGAAUAUCAUGAUUGUGCUUGCCCUCAUAUGUUGUUAUGACAGCUUUUGGAUCUGCUGAAGCUCUCUCAACAUGUUUACGAACAUUGCAUCCAGGGUAUGUGCAACGAUAAUAACUCCUUGGAUGAUGAUUCCCUUUCACCAUUUUCUGUCCAUAUUUACGCCACUUGAACCCGUCAUCCAAAAUGUCUACUUCACUCCUUGUCUGCACAACAAUCUUGGAUUCUGGUUCUGCUUUAUGUGAUGAUGAAAGAAUAGGAGUCUCAACUGUUGUCUUCAUUCUCUUCACAUUUGGUUCAUCAUCAUGUUCCUUGCUUGCUGCUGUUUCAGCAUCCUCACAUUCAUUCGAAACAGAACGUUCACACGCCAUUUCAGUAGACACCUGUUCAGAAUGAGCAACAAGAGCCCCAUUUAAGCCGUUGAUUUCUAGCUCAGUAUGUGUUCCAGUUUCAGGGUUAAUAUUGGAGCAGUCUGAACCAUCCUGAGCACAACUGUCUCUUCUGCGUUUGUUGGGUUGAGGAAGUUCAUGGUUGUGAUGGCCUUUAUAGGUUAUCUCAGUUAUGUGACCAUCAAUGGAUCGCUCAACCUUCUUCUUGACAAGACAUUUGAGAUGUGUGCAUUUAUAGUAGCUCCGAGGGCAUUCACUUGCUUUAACCAUCUUCUGGCCAUACUUCCUCCAAUUGUAACCAUCAGAAGCUGGUCUAUCGACUGAAUUAAAGGAUGGUUUGUCCUCAGAUUGCGAAAGCUGUGGCAGUUCAAAUUUCUUACUCUUCUGGUCUGACGACAUAGUAUCUAAUUGAGGUUGUAAAGAAGACUCCUCUGGGUCAGAUGCCCCUAAUACUUGUACUGAUUUACUUUGCGAGGGGAAAUGGCAUUCAGCUUGAGUUUGUAAGUAAGACUGGGAUAACGCUG